GAUGAACGCUAGCUACAGGCUUAACACAUGCAAGUCGCGGGGCAUCAUGGCAUGUAGCAAUACAUGCUGAUGGCGACCGGCGGAUGGGUGAGUAACGCGUAUCCAACCUGGCCCUAUCUCGGGUACAGCCCCUCGAAAGAGGGAUUAAUUCCCGAUGUUCCCUGGGAUCCGCAUGUUUUCCAGGGCAAAGGCAUUUGUCGGAUAGGGAUGGGGAUGCGUUCCAUUAGGCAGUCGGCGGGGUAACGGCCCACCGAGCCGACGAUGGAUAGGGGUUCUGAGAGGAAGGCCCCCCACACUGGGACUGAGACACGGCCCAAACUCCUACGGGAGGCAGCAGUGAGGAAUAUUGGUCAAUGGCGGUAACGCUGAACCAGCCAAGUAGCGUGAGGGAUUACGGCCCUAUGGGUUUUAAACCUCUUUUGUUAGGGAGCAACCGGUGGCACUUGUGCCAUUCUGCGAGUACCUUUCGAAUAAGCAUCGGCUAACUCCGUGCCAGCAGCCGCGGUAAUACGGAGGAUGCGAGCGUUAUCCGGAUUUAUUGGGUUUAAAGGGAGCGCGGACGGGUGAUUAAGUCAGCUGUUAAAUUUCGGGGCCCAACCCCGUUAUGCGGUUGAUACUGGUUAUCUUGAGUGCGGCAUGGGCAGGCGGAAUUCACGGUGUAGCGGUGAAAUGCUUAGAUAUCGUGAAGAACUCCGAUCGCGAAGGCAGCUUGCCGGACCGUUACUGACGUUUAGGCUCGAAAGUGCGGGUAUCAAACA
RNAcentral lists this ribosomal RNA (758 nucleotides) under uncultured bacterium. Its description in RNAcentral is "bacterial SSU rRNA". It matches the Rfam family "Bacterial small subunit ribosomal RNA", at positions 28 to 774 of the family's 1533-position model. The record is from RNAcentral.